This 845-nucleotide ribosomal RNA is filed under the name uncultured Terriglobales bacterium. RNAcentral describes it as "bacterial SSU rRNA". It matches the Rfam family "Bacterial small subunit ribosomal RNA", at positions 58 to 934 of the family's 1533-position model. The record is from RNAcentral. Lineage: Bacteria; Pseudomonadati; Acidobacteriota; Terriglobia; Terriglobales.
CAAGUCGAACGAGAAAGUGGAGCAAUCCAUGAGUAAAGUGGCGACCGGGUGAGUAACACGUGACUAACCUACCCUCGAGUGGGGAAUAACCCCGGGAAACCGGGGCUAAUACCGCAUAACACCGCAAGGUCAAAGGAGCAAUUCGCUUGAGGAGGGGGUCGCGGCUGAUUAGCUAGUUGGUGAGGUAAUGGCUCACCAAGGCAAAGAUCAGUAUCCGGCCUGAGAGGGCGCACGGACACACUGGAACUGAAACACGGUCCAGACUCCUACGGGAGGCAGCAGUGGGGAAUUUUGCGCAAUGGGGGAAACCCUGACGCAGCAACGCCGCGUGGAGGAUGAAGUCCCUUGGGAUGUAAACUCCUUUCGAUCGGGACGAUUAUGACGGUACCGGAAGAAGAAGCACCGGCUAACUCUGUGCCAGCAGCCGCGGUAAUACAGAGGGUGCAAGCGUUGUUCGGAAUUAUUGGGCGUAAAGGGCGCGUAGGCGGUGCGGUAAGUCUGUAGUGAAAUCUCUGGGCUCAACUCAGAGUCUGCUAUAGAAACUGCCGUGCUUGAGUGUGGGAGAGGUGAGUGGAAUUCCCGGUGUAGCGGUGAAAUGCGUAGAUAUCGGGAGGAACACCUGUGGCGAAAGCGGCUCACUGGACCACAACUGGCGCUGAGGCGCGAAAGCUAGGGGAGCAAACAGGAUUAGAUACCCUGGUAGUCCUAGCCCUAAACGAUGAUCGCUUGGUGUAUUGGGUACCCAAUCCCAAUGUGCCGGAGCUAACGCGUUAAGCGAUCCGCCUGGGGAGUACGGUCGCAAGACUGAAACUCAAAGGAAUUGACGGGGGCCCGCACAAGCGGUG